Non-coding RNA from Lolium perenne, 1640 nucleotides. The record is from RefSeq and is a predicted model, not a curated record. NCBI's taxonomy places the organism in Eukaryota, Viridiplantae, Streptophyta, Magnoliopsida, Poales, Poaceae.
CCGGCCCACUUCUUCGCCUCCUACUACCUCCCCAGUUCCCACAGUGCCCGAUGCUCCAAAAAAAAAAGAAGGUUCCCACAGUGCCGCCGAUUGUGAAAUCCAAUCUCAGGCCUUCCGCUAUUCCCCUGCGGAGGCGGAAGAGGCACUGCAGCGAGCGGCCGAGGAACUGCUUGCUGGCGGCGGGCGGUCAGGGUUAGUAUAUACAUUAAUCUUACCAUCGUCGGAGUCAGUGGUGAGAUUCUCCAUUCGAACAAGCGAGUACACCUCCAACGCGUUGAUGAGCGGCGGAAGACGCGACCUGGCCGUCUUAUUCAAGGAGAAGUACGCGUAAGUAUUUUUCAGGAACUGCCCACCCUUGUACAUGCUGUCCACCUGGAAUCGCGACGGGGAGAAGUCUCGAAACAACAUAUCUUGGGCGCUGUAGAUGUCAAACCUCCUGUUCGGGUUGCUUCCGUUGAUCUCGGCGAAGUGAAAGAUCGGGAGAAGCUGUAGGCUCUUGGCAUCUAGAUUAGGACCCUGUGCCACGUCAAUGGCCAUGAAGGAGUAGUUCGUGUCUAGGGUUGAGGCUUUCUGCAUGAUGGCCAACGGAACGUUGAAAUCGUCAUUGCCAGGGAGGCUCUGCACUGUCCUGCUAGUGUUCAGGUUGAUCCAGGGGUAUGUCGUGUAGCUCCAGCUCUGCCAGAAGCGGUCGUAGUUGUCCGUUGGAUAUCUUCAUUGCACACAAAGACAAGGAAAAUUAGAUAAAUGGCUAGCAUAGUACACUAAUCUUUUGGUAUUUACUUAAAUGCACUUGAUAUGUUGUAUAGCAAUCCCAACUUCUUAGCGCCUUGAGAUUUACUUAUAGUUUUCUUUAGAAGCAAUUGCAGGAUUCAGAAAACAAAGUAGCAAACACUCUUAAAUGCAUUAAGCUAGCGAACUGAAUUUAGAACCAUUGACGGGCAUAAUUCAGAUCUAAUCCAGAACUAUUAUGGAUGGCAGCCUUGUCUCACCUUGUGAUAAAGUCAGCCACGUUGCCAAAUCUGUACCGUUGAAAGUAGCUGACGGACACAGAAGUAUUGACAAAAGGGUACAUCGUAUCUUGUAGUGGCCUCAGCUCCAAUGAAGAUAUGAAGGGAGUCCCUGAACCGAAGUUUAUCAGGCAGACAGACACGAAGUUGCUCGGAGCAAUGGUGAUCACCUCCUUCCAUACCGUGGAUGAUGGAUCCCAAUUUGACAAGUUCACCGCCUCCCAGAAAUUGACACCGAUAUGGAGCCCAAACAGAAACAGCGACCCAUCCAGAGUCUUGUUCAACUUAUCAUAGUUUCCAUGGAGCAGAGCUUAAAAAGGCGCAGGAUCUAGAAGGGAAAAGCUAGGAGGAUAUGACAUGCGUUACCUGGAGGAGGCUGUGCUCGGACUUGAAUCAUCAUGACCAGGACAAGAAGCAGAGCAAAGGUCCAUGUUAGCUUUGUACUGAAGCUGAUCACCAUCUGGUGUUAUUUGGUGCUUGCGAUGUCUGAAGCAAGAAACAGACGACUUGUGCAGUUAUAUAGCAGAGGAUGACAACAACCACGGUUUAGUAAUGGGUAUUUUGUUAGUGUUUUGGUUGACACAGACUCGGCACUGGAUUAACAAUGCAGAUAAGAAAAAACCGUUUUGCUCA